Non-coding RNA from Massospora cicadina, 81 nucleotides. The record is from the annotation of a GenBank genome assembly. Lineage: Eukaryota; Fungi; Entomophthoromycota; Entomophthoromycetes; Entomophthorales; Entomophthoraceae.
CAAAUUGUAGCUCAGUUGGAAAAGCAAAGGACUGUGAUUUGUGGAUAUCCUUAGAUCCCUGGUCAAUCCUGGGCAAUCAGA